UACGAACGCUGGCGGCGUGCUUAACACAUGCAAGUCGAACGGAAAGGCCCUGCUUUUGUGGGGUGCUCGAGUGGCGAACGGGUGAGUAACACGUGAGUAACCUGCCCUUGACUUUGGGAUAACUUCAUGAAACUGGGGCUAAUACCGGAUAGGAGCUCCUGCUGCAUGGUGGGGGUUGGAAAGUUUCGGCGGUUGGGGAUGGACUCGCGGCUUAUCAGCUUGUUGGUGGGGUAGUGGCUUACCAAGGCUUUGACGGGUAGCCGGCCUGAGAGGGUGACCGGCCACAUUGGGACUGAGAUACGGCCCAGACUCCUACGGGAGGCAGCAGUGGGGAAUAUUGCACAAUGGGCGGAAGCCUGAUGCAGCAACGCCGCGUGCGGGAUGACGGCCUUCGGGUUGUAAACCGCUUUCGCCUGUGACGAAGCGUGAGUGACGGUAAUGGGUAAAGAAGCACCGGCUAACUACGUG
This 468-nucleotide ribosomal RNA is filed under the name uncultured bacterium. Its description in RNAcentral is "partial 16S ribosomal RNA". It matches the Rfam family "Bacterial small subunit ribosomal RNA", at positions 29 to 507 of the family's 1533-position model. The record is from RNAcentral.